GGUUUUUUGAAAUUUUUGAAAAGUCCAUUGGAUUUGUUUGAGGGUUGCCAAUUCUAAAUAUGGGCUUGAAGUUUUGAAAAGGUGCAUAUAUUUGUAGUUAUUAAGUGUUUGACUAUUUUGACUUUUGAGUUGACUUUGCAUAUGAAUAGGAAUUUUGAAGUUUUGAUUUGAGCUACCCCCAUAUUUUAAGGGUCUAGGAAUCUAGUGAUGGUCUUGAAAUCCUAUACAUGUUU
Molecule: long non-coding RNA, 233 nt
Filed under: Physcomitrium patens
Lineage: Eukaryota; Viridiplantae; Streptophyta; Bryopsida; Funariales; Funariaceae
Description: long non-coding RNA (PPAT_LNC014680)
Source: RNAcentral